UGAUCAAUCUGCAAGCAGCCGGCUGCGUAUAUAUUUGUGUUCGGUCUCGUUGUUCUGCAGAGAUGCUGUUGUGGUGUCUGAGAGCCGCUUACUUGAUUUGACGCGUCACUCGCCCUGUCUGCCGUGCCAUGCAGUCCUUGGUUUCACCUGUCACGAAAGCCAUCUUCAUCGCCUUGUUUCUGUUCGCUAUUCUCCUCAUUCUCUAUGUAAUCCUGUGGUACAUCUGCAGAGACUCUGAUAACGAUUACAUUUAACAUUGGGAAUAGUGAUACACGAGGUGACAAGGUGCCAGUUCUGAUGUGCACACCUGGAUGGAAGGUGAUGUUUGGCUCUGAUAAGAAGUGGGCAGAAAUCAAGGGAGAUAAAUAAACUGUUUAGUCAGACGAAGACCCAGAACCAAUUGAAGUUCACACAGCUCACCAGAUAGCUGGAAGAGGAUUCACUUUUUUGAAAAAAGUUGGGGCCUAAAUGAAUUUGGCAUUUCAGCAGUUGGGACUCUUGCUUAGUGACAUUUUGUUCAAGAAGUUUGGAAUAUAUCCCUGGCUGGUGCGCGCAGUAAAAGAUAGGAUGAAAUAAUUUUGAUGGAAUUAAAGACAGCACUGUCUGUUCAAAACGUCUUUCGCAAGGACAGCCUUUUGAUCCUCAGCACUUUGUGUGCUACUGUGAAAGGUGUUUAAUGCGACCGUCAUUGGUCUGUUUUUGUGUUUUUGAACCUCUUUCAAAUGCAGUGUGGCUUUCUAGAUCCAUUAUAUACUGAUCCUGUAUGCUUAAUUGUUAAGAGUCAGGUUUUGCUUUUAUUGAAUAGUAAAGAAGUAUUUACACUGUGAAGUAGCAUUUACACUAUGUACUGUAUGUAACAUGCCUAAUAAAUUGUACUAUAUAUUAUUAGAAUUAGGAAGAAGUAUACUAGGUUUAGCACUAAUCUUGUUUAUGCAUUUCAGAUCCUAGGUCCUGGUUUUGACCUGUCCAUACAGUUUAAUUGGAAGUCUGGUCCAUGUGAAUUUAGUGCGCAUUAAUGUUAAGAGACAAUGGCACUGUUUAUAGUCAGGUGCGCUGCUUUCUUCUCUCCAUGCCAAGUCUAUAGAGACUGUAGGGCACUUUACCUUAUUGACAAAAAGCAGCACCAUACAGUUGUUUGGUGUUAUUCAUUUUAAAACCAGGUAAAAUUCCAUAUUUGCAUCCUGUCUGCAUGUUUAGUUUAUAGUGACCUAAACAGUGAUCUGAUUUGCUAUGGGUGAGUGCAUGCGGCUGCAUAAUGUAUACGCCUGGCAGCUCCCUGCUUUGUGAUUGGCUGUGCACCCAGUCUCAAUGUUGAGUCAUGGGUGUGUUGAGUAGGUGUCAGACUUUCCUUCACAGCUCUGAUGUGAUCCUGACCUGGGAACCCCCUGCCUGGGCCUCUCUUAAGUAGAGGCUGCUGAAUCAUGUGAUGGUUUUGUGCGGUGGAGCGGAGACCAUCAAAUGCAUUAUAUACUGUAUAAGUGACCUGAGCUAGUUCAAAACAGCCUGCUGUAUAACUUGUAGCUUCUUAAUUACUGUUGAGAACAAGAAAGAAGAUUGACAGAGCUUAAUUUUCCUAACAUGGACAGCUCUGUCAAUCUACACACCUGCCCUCAACAAACAAGGCAGUGAAGCGAAAGAUCCUGCCCACAAUGCACCUGCACUGUGGGUACCAGGACACCUCCUAGGAACCCCAUGGUCCUAAAGCCCAAUCUCUACUGCAGCUCAUUUACAUGCCAUCACAAAGGCAUACUAGAGGCAGACUAUAACAUGUUUCUUUCAAAACCGCACGUUUAAGGCCGAUUUACGUAAUUCGCUAAAACCAGUUUCAGGAUGUGAGCUUUAGAGCACCCAAGAAUAUUUAGAAUAUGUAAUUAGGAAUGUUAUAUUUCAUUUAAUUCCUUAAAUGCUUAUACUUUAGCUUAAAGACUUUUACCCAAUCAGAAAAGCCAUCAUCACUCCACUCAUUAGAUUGCUGUUACUGUGCAAUUGUAUACUACUACACGAUUAUAUAUGAGGCAAUGAUCUAUUCAGCCCUUGUGAAAGCUUAUCACAGUACUAUGUUUUUGCAUGGUGAAUUUGCAGUUUUCCCAUGCUUUUCCCAUUGUUAUACUGUAGUUUGUCAUGGUUUGCUAUGUUUCUAACAUGCUCUACCAUACCUCUCUUGGCUUUACAAUGCUUACUUGCUGUAUGGUUUACUGUGUUUUCAAUGUGAUUUAUUACAUUUUUCUAUUGGAAACUGUUAUAAGGGAACUGAUAUAAAUGCUGGCGGAUCUAAAUACUGUUUAAGUUAUUAAAAGAGGAAUACCUUGUGAAAAGCAGGACCUCUAACAGUGCAAGUCUCUUAAAGAGUAUUUCUGUCUUUCAAAGUAUGUAAUAUGCCAGGUUUAUUGUUUUAAUAUUUAAACACUGGUGGUGUUGAAUAGACCCUUCAUCUGUAAAACAUUGAUGUGUCUGUGUGUGGAAAUGUGUUUGAAUAAAUAAAUAAUGCUGUUGUGGUUCUGUUAUAGAUAUAUUUUAUCACUGUGUUUAUUGACACAAGCACACAUUAAAUACCAUCUGGCACCAGUUGAGGAAAUGUUCAAUGGCACGACUAACGUGACAGAGCCUUAACCUGAAGUUGAAAGUGGGUGCAAUGUGAAAUCAAAGGUUCUGAAGAUAACCAUCAUGCUUUAAUCAGCUUAGAUUGAGAGUCCACUCUGGUUGGCCCUUUCACUGCUCUAAAAGGGUACAGUAAUCUGAAUUGCAGCAUUAAUAUUUCAAUCUCACAGUCAAACAUUUGAAUCCCUGCCGUUCCUCCCGGUUGAAUGCCGUGUCUAUGAAUCUGAAGAGACUGAACAAGGCAUUCUCCACAGGCUCGCAUGGUGGGGACUGAAAUGACAUUGGUUGCAUUCCCACAUAUUGACACCAUGCAGAUUCAAAAGAAAUGGGCCACUUUUCAUGGAGGAUGCAGUACCUUGGUGUAAAGGUCAGGUGGAGUUUACUACACUUUGUCUUCCUCUUUGUAAUAAACUUUCUUUGAAUUGCAGUGCUGCUUGCUAUCAUUGUCUCAAUUCUUUGGAACCACUGGCUGAUGGAGGGAACAUUAAUGUCUUGAAAGGGGUUCUAACUCAUGAAGUAAUUCCAUUCCAUCUUUAAUCUCCCUGUCAAUCACUCCCCUUCUUCUAUAUAAGCCUCCCAUUUCCUCUUCUGCUCUCUCUAGCGUUUGUUCGAGCUGGAGGUUCUGCGUCAGGCCAGAGGGGACCCCCGACCACACUCUCUAUCCCGUUGCAGCUUGUCCACUUUCCCUAUUCUAAUUUCAAGACUCCUUCUCCUUCUCAGCUGUUGAUGUGGAGUCUGUCUCGCAGUCCUUCGAUCUCUUAUUAAUCUCUACUCCUUUCUUUUCUAGCUCCAGGACUCCUGUAAGCUCCGUUCCACGAUCCCAAGUCCCUCUAACUUUUUCCUUUCAAGGCUCUCCUUCAGAGGUCCAUUCCCAAGUCGCUCAGCUGCUCGGCUCUCCAAGAGUCUGGGUCCUCUGUCCCCUCAAUCCCUUAUGAGUAGCUCUGUUCCCAAGCUGCCAUGGAAGCGACUCUCUGCGGAGUUGGGGAUUCUAUCUGUGUUUUCGGGUCUUGGGUCACCUGACCAGCCUUCGGCUAUAAGGUUCUCCAUCACCGGUAGCAAGACUCCUGUUCUAUCCCUUUAUCUCCCUUCAAGUAUCCUGGCGCUCUCUGACCUGUCAGGAAGCACUACACUUGCUACUCACCAUAGCCCAGUGAAACGAUUAAAAAUGAUUAAAAAUAGCUUUUCCAAAUCCACAGCACACAGCACUGUUGGAACGAGAAAGUGUUCUCCCUGCAGCAGAUAGCAAGGAAUUUACAUUUCCAAUGUUGAUUCCAGGAGACAGUCACCAUUAAAACAAAGAGGCAUGGCUCCAUCUAUCAUCCAGGCUAGUCACUGGCAUGUACUCCAACAGUUUGAUCUACUGCUAUUGGCCACCAGAGACAUUAAUCAGUAUUACAGCCAGUCAUCAGCCUGCCAUGCACAGCCCAGGUACUGGCCAUUUUCUGUACUUUCAUCCAAAGCUAUUAGUUCUCUUUAGAGACCGCUAUUAUAAUUAAAAGGAGGGGAACCCGACACAACCUAUCUGGUGCUACACUUGGUUAAAACAAUCUCUCUUUGCAAGCCAUGCUUUCCUUUGGUGUUGCACUGUUGUCAUUUCACCUGGAGGGUGAAACCGUCUCCGCCCCUUCAAUGGCUUCUUCCCUGUUUUUAACCAGACACUGCUGAGCGGAAUGACUCAGGAAGUUCAAGUGGAACAGAUAGAAACGGCAUAGAAAUGGUUAACUUUCUUUAACCAAAAAUAAUACCAGAUAUGUCUUAAAAUAACUGUUUAUAAUAAGAAGUGCUUUUUUUCAGAACUGCACAUUUGAGACCGUGUAACAAAUGGAAGUGCAUUUUAGAAGUGUUUUAAGUUGAAUAAAAUUGAUUUUUCAAAAUGAUUUGACAGAAACUCACUACAAAGGUCUCAGCCUUGUGAUGGAGAAUACAUUUUUGAAAGUUAGUUGGAAGAUCAAUAUUUUUUAUACUGCAGCUCUCUGGCAAGUGAUUAAUAUUUGGAAUGCUGUGUGCUGGCAUGAUGUCAACAAUAUUUUUUUUCCCUCCACGCUUGCUAAUGAAUUGGCAUCACAGCCCAUCGAAUUGAAAGACAAGCGCUGGACGCAAACAGCAAACAUCGCUAAUCAAAGAUAAACAUCUUACCAUUCAAUUAAAGAGCAACUCUGUGGUCAGGAUGUGUCUGAAUUACUAACUCAUCAGCUUCUAGGAAAGGAUCCAUUACAGCGUUGCAGAAAACCAGGGCAAGCUUUAGACAAAAAGUAGGCCAGUGUCACAGGUGGGCUGUUCUCACUGCUCGGAAAGCAAUCACUCUUACCUCUCAGUAAAACCUGAUGAACCAGCAGGGGCAAGGGUGCUCAAUGGAUAGUGUUCACAGGGGCUGUCAGCUCUGCCACAAUACACACACAUAUGAGGUAGGCACUGCAUUUUCACAGAGGCUACAUUUCCAAAGCUGAAAGGGUUGCUAUCAUACCUCACUGUAACCACUGACCUCACAUGACUGGAGAACUGAAAACCACCAAAACGUGUAAAGAAAAAGAGAAGGUUGUUGAUAACUUUUUUUUUUUUUUGGGAGGGGUGGGGGGGUACUGAUCAUGCCCAGAACUCCACACUAUGUGCUGGUUAAUUUUUAAACGGUCAAUGUGCCUGUGUCUAGGUUGACCUUGUCUGGCCGAGAUUCUUACUCUCCAACGGAAAGCUGACUGUUCAUUUCACAAGGAGGCAAGAGGAGUACAGACAGAGGUGAAACUGCAGAGCAGACCUUGAUGUUAACUCUCCACUCUGGUGAUGUAUUGGGCUUUCUAAAUAAGAUUUUAGUUUCAGGGUUCGAGAAGACAGAACAUGGGGUGUUUCUUUCACUUUCCCUCGUUAUGCUGGUUUGAAAACACCUGUUCCUUUGAAAUAAACAUUCCAGUUUAAUAUAAUACGGUACAAGGCGCAGUUUAGAUUGCCUACCAAUGCUGUUUUAAGGUAAUGACUACAGGUACUAAAACACAUGAUUCCAGUUGCAGAGAGCUGCUCUGUUUUAGAAUGUGCUUUAUUGUCAUUUAACUGGGAUAGUUUGACUGCUGCUAUCUUCCUAGACGUGGCUGGGAAUAAGAUGGCUUCUAAUGCUGCUUUUAAAUAAGAAAGGAUUAACUUGAAUGGAAUUGAAAAGUUAAAAACCAGGCAUUCUAUAGUAUUGAAAAGUAAAUAUAUAGCCAUGUCAAUUUCAAUAUGUCAUUGAAACUACAGCUGCCUCUAACUGCAUUGAAAUCUUCAACGCAUUCAAUUCACAUUUCUUAUGUUGGCAUUGAUUGAACACUGGGAGUCUGUUAGCUGCUGUCAGUAACUGGAAUCUGUCCCUGUAGGUUUACAGAAUCCAGGGACGAUCCUAUUACUGUGCACUGGUAAUGGAAUGAACAUCAGACAGCCACUCCAAACAAGCAGCACAUGUGAUAUAUCUAAGUAAGAGUUAGAUGGGAAUCGUGUCUCAAAAUUCUCAGAUGCUUGAAAUAAUUUUGAGGUUAAUUCAUAACUUUAGAUUCUCAAUCAUAAAGCAUGUCGAUGAAAACUAGACACAUGUUAGCUUGAUCAAUGUCAUGCCAUUUAUCCCAUGUAUUUGUAUUGGUCCUUUAUUGUUUUUCUGGACUCGCUUGUAAAAGAGGCCUCGGUUAAAUAAACAAAUAAAUACAAAUAAAAGUAUCUGAAUGUAUUGCGACCAGGGAACCUUCUGGCAACUUUUCAAAAGCAAGUUUUACUCAGAUCAAGAAACACAUUUCACAUGGUGAAAAUUGCUUAAAGAUAUCACCUGUAACAAGCUGCCAGAAAAAGUUGCAACUUUAGUUUUUUCCGCUGCUGUUUCUUCACAAUUCCACUAGGUGAUAGAAGAGAGUUACAAUUCCUCCUGUGUGUUGGCUGCAGAGGCAGCUGCUAUUACGUCCCUUCAUAUCACUGGGUCUACACACAAGAACACGGUAGGAAGCGUCUGUUGUCUUGUGAUGUCAUAUGUGGAUGUUUCAUUAUCUUUUUAUUGUACUUUUUGGUAACAUUCAAUAUAUCUAUGCUUCUACAUUUUGAUUAAUAUACUCCAUUGUUUAAUUUGCAGCAACACCAUAGGGCAGAAUAUGGUUUCAACCAGCUUGUAUUUAGCAGUCUAUUGUAUCAUUUUUAUAAUGUAUUGUAGAGUAAGAGCAAACUGCCAUCUGAAUAAGCUUGUUCAUUUUCACACGAGUCAAUUAGUGUGUGCAACCUAAUGCUUCACUACAGGGGAGAUAGAAGAGCCAGGGGUACAAACCUCAAACUUUAGUUUCACAUAGACAGCAUCUAGACAGCUGCUUGUCUCAUUGUAGUGAAACUUGCUAAAGAAAGAGAGGACAAUUACGAACGAGAGGAGGCUGUUCAGCCCAUCUAAGAUUGUCCGAUUCUCAGUAGCUGAAUGGUCUCAGAACUUUGUCAAGUUGGGUUUUAAAAGAUCCAGGUGAUUCUCCUUCACAGCAUGGUCAUGUGGUCCGUUCCAUACCCACACCACUCUCUGUGUGAAGAAGCAUCGCCUUCCCUCUGUCCUAAGUCUAUCUUCAACUGAUUUCCAAAUGUGUCCCCUUGUCCUGGUUUCUGUACUGCAAGUAGUGGUUAACUAUGUAAACUUAUUUUAAGAUUUUAAAAACUUCAAAUCGUACCCACCACCCUUAAUUCUUCUUUGAUCCAUGCUAAAUCGAUGUAGUUCUUCUAGCCUACCUUCCCAGCUUUGAGCCAGUAUUGGGUGUAUCUCAAUGUAUGGAAACUCUGAUUGUAGGUCAUGCCGGAUGUAGUUUCCCAUGUUAUUAAUAUCUCGGAUGGUGUAUAUAUUGUUAUGGGGAGGGCUGAAUGUCACCGACUUGCUUGAACAGACUGUUGCACUUCAGAGUUUUGCUUAUAGCUGCAGAACUGUUUAUACAAUCGUCACUGUGUGCGUCUGUAUGCACGUCACAAUCAGGUCUAAUUCUGACACACUGCCGAUAACGUGGGUUAUUCAAAUAUACACUUCUCUCUCAAUGCAUCUGUCAAGCAACGCUUGUACAGCUAGAGAAACGCGUGUUAUGAUAAGCACAGGUUAUACAGAGGAUGUCUCUAUACAUCUGAAUGUGUACAUAUAGUGGAUGUACUUUUUUGCGUAACAAAGAAAAGGCUCAGGAAUUUGUCCUGACCAGCCCCCCUUUGUGUUGUGGUAAGCACUGCUUGCACCCUUCCACCCUAUCCCAAUUAAAACUACAGGCUUUUUAUAGUCUAGCAGACAAAUGUUUGGACAAAAGUGUUUUUUUUUUUCCAUGCUCACUAGAGAACACUUAGCAUUCAUUUGAAUCUCAGCAAUGCCCAUACAAGGCCAAUAAUGUAAAAUAGAGGUGUGCUGCAGUGGCUCAGGCUGCAACAAGAGCCCUCUGUCUUUUAUAGACAAUACGUGGACCCUAGAACACUGGAUAUAGUUUUAAAGAGUGACAUAAAAAAAUCCUGGACAGGAAAACACAGUAUUUUACUAUAAACACAACUAGACAUUUUUAAUAAGAAUAUUGAAUUGAUAGUAUAACUGUUUUACCCACUGUCUCCCAAUACUGUUAAGUUAAACUUUGUUUUAAAGUCAAUACAAAACUAUACCACACAAUCCCUAGGAGAGUUAAACUGUUCAAAAAAGUGUUAACCAACAUACAUUGGCUAACUUAAGAACUUUCUAGAUCACAAUCCUAUGGUAUGAAUUUAUUACAAGAGAUUUCCAGACCUUCAGCAAGAAGGCCUCUAGUAAUGACACAAUCUAAGCCUUUGACUGGCAUUAAAUACAGAGGUUUACCUGUAUGUGAAAAUGAAUGCACAAAGUUAAAAGGAUAACUGUCCACAAAUUAGUCAAAACAUUUAGUUAAAACACUCUGAGUUAUAAAGCUUGAAAAACACACUUUGCAGUACAGCUUUGUUUCAAUGCAGACGAUCUUGAAGUUGAUGUGUGCGUGAGUAUCUUUAAGUGAAAGGCUAAGAAGGAGAUUGUGCAGCCACCCCUUUGCAGACAGCGUGCCAUUGAUUACACAGCACACAGACUAACAGCAACUGUUCAGCUCUGCCGGUGGUUGACAUCACAAUGGGCCACUGGGCCAUUUACUGUGUUAGUCUAACACAGUGGAAACAUUAUGCUAUGGGUUAAAUUAACUGGUCAUUUCAAAACAAGCACCUUUGAAACUGACUUGUCUCCUUAACAUCUUAGUGUGAUUCCCAAACACCAAUAAUAACAACAACAACAACAACAACAACAACAACAAAUAUAUAUUUGGUGCACUUGCUGAUACAGUAUAAAUUGGCCAAAAAAGGACCAUGUUUAUCUAAUACCUCAAGCUUAAAAUUCUGUUAUAAAUACAAAAAAAAAAAAAAAAAAAAACUGCCUCUUCUUCCAACAUAAUACUUUGUUACAAAGGAAUGUCAUUGAAACAAAGGAACUGAUAGCUAUUUCAAAAUAGGAAAACACAAAUCCAAAACUAAAUAAAUAAAACUAGUUAAUCUGUAUUCAUUUACUCUCAGAAAACCAGUAUUUUACUUUUUGAGCCCCACUGUUUCUGAAGGGCUGACAUUUUAAGUAUAUGCUGCUCAGGAUCUUUCAGCCAAUCGGAUCGCAUGUCUCACCUUCUGUAUUCCACGAGACAUCACAGAUUCUCCACAUCAGUGUGGUUGAGGUCACCUGCUUUAAAACUAAAAUCACACCCGAGGCACCCCCUGGAAUUCCAUUCAACUGCAAAGACCAUUCAAAACCGUGACAUCACAAUCCACCACAUACCUCAGCCUAACCCUAACAGUAUUCUCUUCAUUAAACUUUACAAUGAAACUGAAACUGGACUAAAAGGAUGGUAAUGAUUAGAAAACACAGAGCUGGAUUUCUAACUUGUGUAUUAAUUGUGUAUUAAUUAUAAAGCAGUAUAUGAAAGUUAUAGGACAGUGAAUGUCUGUGUAUGGGUUAUAUAGACACUCAAAGUGCUUCAACAGACCUCGGCUUUCAGCCUCUCUACUAGUGCAGACAUUCCUUCAUACACAAACGUUCUGUGUCCUAUAACUAUAUAAAAUUGUAUGUGUUCAUAUAAACACACACAGCCGAUCUGAAAGACCUGCUGUUCUGUACAGGGACUGAUCUGUUGACCAACUGACCCAGUUCCAAGCCAGCGCUGCUUUGCGCACUCAUCAGCAAUGCAAACCCUCUGGACUGGACUUCAUUGCCUCUGUGCCAGCUUGGUCACGUCACAUUGGCAGAGUUGAAUUCAAUGUACAGGGAAUUGAAUUUUUCUGCUACAACCAAAGCCUUGAGCUUUCAACCAAGUAAAACCCUUUAUUCUUUCAGAAUAUCUAAAAAAAAAAAAAAA
This is a long non-coding RNA of Polyodon spathula (Mississippi paddlefish), 9935 nucleotides long. RefSeq lists it as uncharacterized. The record is from RefSeq and is a predicted model, not a curated record. Lineage: Eukaryota; Metazoa; Chordata; Actinopteri; Acipenseriformes; Polyodontidae. The transcript is spliced from 3 exons.